UGUUGUUAGGGAAGAACAAGUGCGAGAGUAACUGCUCGCACCUUGACGGUACCUAACCAGAAAGCCACGGCUAACUACGUGCCAGCAGCCGCGGUAAUACGUAGGUGGCAAGCGUUGUCCGGAAUUAUUGGGCGUAAAGGGCUCGCAGGCGGUUUCUUAAGUCUGAUGUGAAAGCCCCCGGCUCAACCGGGGAGGGUCAUUGGAAACUGGGAAACUUGAGUGCAGAAGAGGAGAGUGGAAUUCCACGUGUAGCGGUGAAAUGCGUAGAGAUGUGGAGGAACACCAGUGGCGAAGGCGACUCUCUGGUCUGUAACUGACGCUGAGGAGCGAAAGCGUGGGGAGCGAACAGGAUUAGAUACCCUGGUAGUCCACGCCGUAAACGAUGAGUGCUAAGUGUUAGGGGGUUUCCGCCC
RNAcentral lists this ribosomal RNA (413 nucleotides) under Bacillus pumilus. Its description in RNAcentral is "bacterial SSU rRNA". It matches the Rfam family "Bacterial small subunit ribosomal RNA", at positions 434 to 838 of the family's 1533-position model. The record is from RNAcentral. Lineage: Bacteria; Bacillati; Bacillota; Bacilli; Caryophanales; Bacillaceae.